RNAcentral lists this transfer RNA (414 nucleotides) under uncultured marine alpha proteobacterium. RNAcentral describes it as "16S-23S intergenic spacer region". The stretch from base 100 to 173 matches the Rfam family "tRNA". The record is from RNAcentral. Lineage: Bacteria; Pseudomonadati; Pseudomonadota; Alphaproteobacteria.
UCUAAGGAUGAGUGAAAGUAAAAUUUCACUCUAAAUAAUAUACAUCGGUAAUGUUGACCGUCCUCAUUUCUCUUCUUAAAGUAAUGUUUCCUUCUUGUAGGGCCGGUAGCUCAGUUGGUUAGAGCACACCCUUGAUAAGGGUGGGGUCGAAAGUUCGAGUCUUUCUCGGCCCACCAAUAACUCAAUGGGGGAUUAGCUCAUCUGGGAGAGCGCCUGAUUUGCAUUCAGGAGGUAGCAGGUUCGAUCCCUGUAUCCUCCACCAGGAAACAUUUAGUUAUUAAAACUGUAAAUAAAAAUAAUUUAUAUCAAUAUCUAUAUCCGAACAUUAAAAGUUAUUAUUUAAUGUUCAAAAUAAAAAUUUGAUCACAACAUAGACAAAUUUUCUGUAAAAAGAAUUUUUUUCUGUGCAUAAAU